CAGUCGCCGCGGGAAUACAGAGGGUGCGAGCGUUAAUCGGAUUUACUGGGCGUAAAGCGUGCGUAGGCGGUUUGUUAAGUCUGCUGUGAAAUCCCCGGGCUCAACCUGGGAAUGGCAGUGGAUACUGGCAAGCUAGAGUGUGUCAGAGGAUGGUGGAAUUCCCGGUGUAGCGGUGAAAUGCGUAGAGAUCGGGAGGAACAUCAGUGGCGAAGGCGGCCAUCUGGGACAACACUGACGCUGAGGCACGAAAGCGUGGGGAGCAAACAGGAUUAGAUACCCCAGUAGUCCCUGUCUCUUAUAC
This 301-nucleotide ribosomal RNA is filed under the name uncultured bacterium. Its description in RNAcentral is "partial 16S ribosomal RNA". It matches the Rfam family "Bacterial small subunit ribosomal RNA", at positions 509 to 807 of the family's 1533-position model. The record is from RNAcentral.